CCUCAUCCAUUGAAUAUAAAAAUCUGCAUUGUAAAGUUUAAGAAAAUACCUGGAUUACAGAAAAUAAAUACAGCAAUGAAGAAAUAGAGCUCAGCAGAAGAAAAAAAACAGCAGCAAACACAAGCAGAAAACCGCAACAGUUUCGUUUUUAUAUAGCCCAAAAAUCUUAGAAGAAACCCAGAACCAGCUCUAAAGAAGACUUAUAUUUUUCUAAAAGUUUACACUCUUAAAAUUUACUCACAAAGCUCACCAUUUCAGCUUACUAAAGGGUGCUUUAGUUGCUGAUUUUUUACUCUCCAAUUUAUAUUUUUAGGGUGUAAAGACUGCCCAACAAAUGUGUGAUCCCGUCCUCAAGUGAGGAAAUAGCAGCCCCUUAAAUAGGCAAAUGAAGUCCCUUUUUUGGGACAGAUUUUGGUUCACCAAAAAUCUGUCAAAAAGACUGACUUUGUGUGCUAAACACUUUUCAAGAUCUGUCCCAAAGAUGAAAGGACGGCCUGAAAAUCUGUUGUAUCAGAAGCAAGGAGAAAAAAUAUCAUUUCAGCCACCCUACUAGUAAAGGUAGGCUACUAUUAUCCUAUUUUGUGAUAAAAUAAACUAAACUUCAGAUUUUAACCAUUAACAAUAAACUACUUGCUCAACACAAAUCAAACUUGAACAACUAUGAACUGACAAAGCAUAAACGAGACUAAAAACGUAAUUGAACUAAGUAUUCAAACAAACUUGAUGGGAAAGAAUUCGAUUUAUGCAAACUAAUUACUAAUCAAACAACUAAAUUCACAAACUAAUGCUCAAAACAGAACGAGCAUCGUUAACAAUCGGACAACGACUAACAACAACUAAAUAAUCGACUAACUAAGUGAACGAUUUAACUAAUACACUAAAGAUCAUAUUUAAAUCAAUAACAAAUCUAACAAACCACUAAACUAAAUAGAGAUAACUAAUUAAAUAAACCUAACUUGAAACUCUAAUUAACAAGAAACAACCUAAAUAGAAAAAUCAAAAAUCAGAAACUAAACUACUAAUAUAAAAUCAGAAAUUAAUUAAAGAGAUGACGAUUAUACCUAACAAGUAUGCUUGAAGCUGUUCGAGCCACGAGAAGACGCCGGAGAUGCUAAAAGGUGACUACCCGACUCCGAAACGUACGUUUCUUUCGGGUAGAUGCUAGAACGAAAUGUGUUUCAGCAUCUCGCCAAAAGAAACGAGUGUCUUUGAGUCGAAAAAUAGCUAAGAUGAGGGUUCGGGCAUUUUGGCGGUGGUGAGGUAGUGGAGCCGUGGCGGCGGUGAGGAGCGGGCCGGCGGCGACGGAAAUUUUGGGGGUGAAAUGGGUAGGAAAAGAUAGGUCGACGGGAAUUUUGGGGGUGAAAUGGGUAGGAAAAGAUAGGUCUCGUGGAGCUCUAUCCAUUCAUGUAUGUGUUGUAGGGUGGUGUUGGCCGGAGCUUCAAGAAUUUGAACCAAAAAGUGGCGGCUAAAGUUUUCUAGAUCUAAAAUUCAAGGAGUUUGAGGGGUUUUUGAAAGAAUUGGUUUGGAGAUAUGGGAAGAGGAGGUUGUGGAGAUUACAUGGUGUUAAUUUGGAGGUGUUUGGAGGUGGUCCGCCGUCGGUGGGUGAUUUUCGGCGGCGGCGGAGAGAAGAGAGAGAAGAAAGAGAGAGAAGAAAAAGAGUUAUGGGGAAAUAAG
Molecule: long non-coding RNA, 1674 nt
Filed under: Nicotiana tabacum (common tobacco)
Lineage: Eukaryota; Viridiplantae; Streptophyta; Magnoliopsida; Solanales; Solanaceae
Description: long non-coding RNA (NTAB_LNC002070)
Source: RNAcentral